RNAcentral lists this ribosomal RNA (253 nucleotides) under uncultured bacterium. RNAcentral's name for it is "partial 16S ribosomal RNA". It matches the Rfam family "Bacterial small subunit ribosomal RNA", at positions 524 to 776 of the family's 1533-position model. The record is from RNAcentral.
UACGGAGGGUGCAAACGUUGCUCGGAAUCAUUGGGCGUAAAGCGCACGUAGGCGGUCGGCUAUGUCGGAUGUGAAAGCCUCGGGCUUAACCCGAGAAGGGCAUCCGAAACUGGCCGGCUUGAGUACGGAAGAGGGUCUCGGAAUUCCCGGUGUAGAGGUGAAAUUCGUAGAUAUCGGGAGGAACACCAGUGGCGAAGGCGGAGACCUGGGCCGAUACUGACGCUGAGGUACGAAAGCGUGGGGAGCAAACAGG